Molecule: ribosomal RNA, 1108 nt
Filed under: fungal sp. ARIZ AZ0247
Lineage: Eukaryota; Fungi
Description: eukaryotic LSU rRNA
Rfam family: Eukaryotic large subunit ribosomal RNA (bases 511-1108)
Source: RNAcentral
GAUCAUUAAAAGUUAAUUGGUUAUACUCCGGUAUAAAUCUAAUUAAACACCUCUGAGUACCUUACCUGUUGCUUCCGUGAGGCCUGACUCCAGCAGUGGUUCGCCGCCGCUGGAUACUUGCGGAAGGUAUACACUUAAACACUUUUGAAUCAAUGUCAUCUGUCUGAUAAUGUUUAUAACAAACGUUAAAACUUUCAACAACGGAUCUCUUGGUUCUCGCAUCGAUGAAGAACGCAGCGAAAUGCGAUAAGUAGUGUGAAUUGCAGAAUUCAGUGAAUCAUCGAAUCUUUGAACGCACAUUGCGCCUCCUGGUAUUCCGGGAGGCAUGCCUGUUCGAGCGUCAUUAAAACCUCCUCAAGCUCUUUUGCUUGGUAUUGGAAGAAGAGGCCGCUUGUCGGUCUCCCUUUCGAAAUGCAAUGGCAGAUUGCCUCAUGUGCCCUGGCGUAAUAAGAUUUAUCUUUCGCUUGUGCAUUGAGACGAUCCCGCCGCAAACCCCCAAUUUUUUCUGGUUGACCUCGGAUCAGGUAGGGAUACCCGCUGAACUUAAGCAUAUCAAUAAGCGGAGGAAAAGAAACCAACAGGGAUUGCCUCAGUAACUGCGAGUGAAGCGGCAAAAGCUCAAAUUUGAAAUCUGGCGCCUUCGGCGUCCGAGUUGUAAUUUGGAGAGGCAUCUUCGGAUAUGGCGCCGUCCUAAGUUCCUUGGAACAGGACGUCACAGAGGGUGAGAAUCCCGUGCCUGGUCGGCUGUCCAUAUCCAUGUGAAGUGUCUUCGACGAGUCGAGUUGUUUGGGAAUGCAGCUCAAAAUGGGUGGUAAAUUUCAUCUAAAGCUAAAUAUUGGCGAGAGACCGAUAGCGCACAAGUAGAGUGAUCGAAAGAUGAAAAGAACUUUGAAAAGAGAGUUAAAAAGUACGUGAAAUUGUUGAAAGGGAAGCGCUUGAGACCCCACUCGAUCUUUGGUGAUCAGCUAGGCUUCUGUCUGGUGCACUUGCCAUUGAUUGGGCCAGCAUCGGUUCUGACGGCGGGAUAAAAGGCAGAGGAAUGUGGCUCUCUUCGGGGAGUGUUAUAGCCUCAGUCAUAAUGCCGCCAGUUGGGACCGAGGACCGCGCU